AUUGAACGCUGGCGGCAGGCCUAACACAUGCAAGUCGAGCGAGAAAGGUCUUCGGACUGAGUACAGCGGCGGACGGGUGAGUAAUGCGCAGGAAUCUACCUGGUAGUGGGGGAUAACUCGGGGAAACUCGAACUAAUACCGCAUACGCCUACGGGGAAAGGCGGGGACCGUUCGGGCCUCGCGCUAUCAGAUGAGCCUGCGUAGGAUUAGCUUGUUGGUGAGGUAAAGGACUCACCAAGGCGACGAUCCUUAGCUGGUCUGAGAGGAUGAUCAGCCACACUGGAACUGAGACACGGUCCAGACUCCUACGGGAGGCAGCAGUGGGGAAUAUUGCGCAAUGGGCGAAAGCCUGACGCAGCCAUGCCGCGUGUGUGAAGAAGGCCCUUGGGUUGUAAAGCACUUUCAAUUGGGAAGAAAGGUUGCGUGUUAAUAGCACGUAGCUGUGACGUUACCUUUAGAAGAAGCACCGGCUAACUCCGUGCCAGCAGCCG
RNAcentral lists this ribosomal RNA (491 nucleotides) under uncultured bacterium. RNAcentral's name for it is "bacterial SSU rRNA". It matches the Rfam family "Bacterial small subunit ribosomal RNA", at positions 30 to 517 of the family's 1533-position model. The record is from RNAcentral.